This 253-nucleotide ribosomal RNA is filed under the name uncultured bacterium. RNAcentral describes it as "partial 16S ribosomal RNA". It matches the Rfam family "Bacterial small subunit ribosomal RNA", at positions 524 to 776 of the family's 1533-position model. The record is from RNAcentral.
UACGUAGGUGGCGAGCGUUGUCCGGAUUCAUUGGGCGUAAAGCGCGCGUAGGCGGCUCGGCAAGUCGGUCGUGAAAUGCCGGGGCUCAACCCCGGGACUGCGUCCGAUACUUCCGGGCUGGAGGUAGGUAGGGGAGAUCGGAAUUCCUGGUGUAGCGGUGAAAUGCGCAGAUAUCAGGAGGAACACCGGUGGCGAAGGCGGAUCUCUGGGCCUUACCUGACGCUGAGGCGCGAAAGCUAGGGGAGCGAACAGG